AUUGAACGCUGGCGGCAUGCUUUACACAUGCAAGUCGAACGGUAACAGGUCUUCGGAUGCUGACGAGUGGCGAACGGGUGAGUAAUGCAUCGGAACGUGCCCAGUCGUGGGGGAUAACGCAGCGAAAGCUGCGCUAAUACCGCAUACGAUCUAUGGAUGAAAGCGGGGGACCGUAAGGCCUCGCGCGAUUGGAGCGGCCGAUGUCAGAUUAGGUAGUUGGUGGGGUAAAGGCUCACCAAGCCAACGAUCUGUAGCUGGUCUGAGAGGACGACCAGCCACACUGGGACUGAGACACGGCCCAGACUCCUACGGGAGGCAGCAGUGGGGAAUUUUGGACAAUGGGCGCAAGCCUGAUCCAGCAAUGCCGCGUGCAGGAAGAA
RNAcentral lists this ribosomal RNA (380 nucleotides) under uncultured bacterium. RNAcentral describes it as "bacterial SSU rRNA". It matches the Rfam family "Bacterial small subunit ribosomal RNA", at positions 30 to 412 of the family's 1533-position model. The record is from RNAcentral.